GACGAACGCUGGCGGCGUGCUUAACACAUGCAAGUCGAACGAAGUGGCGCACGGGUGAGUAACGCGUAAUCAACCUGCCCUUAAGAGGGGGACAACAGUUGGAAACGACUGCUAAUACCGCAUACUGAAGGAGGGGAUUGCGGCUGCUUAGCUCGUUGGAGGGGUAACGGCCCACCAAGGCGAUGAUCAGUAGCCGGUCUGGGGGGAUGAACCGCCCCAUUGGGACUUGGCAAAGGCCCAGACGCCUACGGGAGGCAGCAGUGGGGAAUCUUGCGCAAUGGGCGAAAGGCGGACGGAGCAACGCCGCGUGAGUGAUGACGGCCUUCGGGUUGUAAAGCUCUGUUAAUCGGGACGCGGUACCGGAAUAGAAAGCCACGGCUAACUACGUGCCAGCAGCCGCGGUAAUUC
RNAcentral lists this ribosomal RNA (408 nucleotides) under uncultured bacterium. RNAcentral describes it as "partial 16S ribosomal RNA". It matches the Rfam family "Bacterial small subunit ribosomal RNA", at positions 28 to 526 of the family's 1533-position model. The record is from RNAcentral.